RNAcentral lists this ribosomal RNA (845 nucleotides) under uncultured Chloroflexota bacterium. RNAcentral's name for it is "bacterial SSU rRNA". It matches the Rfam family "Bacterial small subunit ribosomal RNA", at positions 28 to 896 of the family's 1533-position model. Lineage: Bacteria; Bacillati; Chloroflexota. The record is from RNAcentral.
GAUUAACGCUGGCGGCGUGCUUUAUGCAUGCAAGUCGAACGGUCCCGAUUUAUCGGGAUAGUGGCGAAUGGGUGAGUAACGCGUAAGUAACCUGCCCCUAAGUGGGGGAUAACUCUGAGAAAUCGGAGCCAAUACCGCAUGUGGUGAUGGGGGUAAGGCUCCAUCACUAAAGCCUUUGGGUGCUUGGGGAGGGGCUUGCGUCCGAUUAGCUAGUUGGUAAGGUAACAGCCUACCAAGGCAACGAUCGGUAGCUGGUCUGAGAGGAUGGUCAGCCACACUGGGACUGAGACACGGCCCAGACUCCUACGGGAGGCAGCAGCAAGGAAUAUUGUGCAAUGGGCGAAAGCCUGACACAGCGACGCCGCGUGGGGGAAGAAGGUCUUCGGGUUGUAAACCCCUUUUCUCAGGGAAGAAUAAUGACGGUACCUGAGGAAUAAGUCUCGGCUAACUACGUGCCAGCAGCCGCGGUAAUACGUAGGAGGCAAGCGUUAUCCGGAUUUAUUGGGCGUAAAGAGGGCGUAGGUGGCUCUUCAAGUCGGAUGUAAAAUCUCCCGGCUCAACUGGGAGGGAUCAUUCGAUACUGCUGGGCUAGAGUACAGCAGGGGGAGGUGGAAUUCCCGGUGGAGUGGUGAAAUGCGUAGAUAUCGGGAGGAACACCAGUGGCGAAGGCGGCCUCCUGGGCUGUUACUGACGCUGAGGCCCGAAAGCGUGGGGAGCGAACAGGAUUAGAUACCCUGGUAGUCCACGCCGUAAACGAUGGACACUAGGUAUGGGGAGUAUCGACCCUUUCCGUGCCGAAGCUAACGCAUUAAGUGUCCCGCCUGGGGAGUACGGUCGCAAGACUA